This 253-nucleotide ribosomal RNA is filed under the name uncultured bacterium. RNAcentral's name for it is "partial 16S ribosomal RNA". It matches the Rfam family "Bacterial small subunit ribosomal RNA", at positions 524 to 776 of the family's 1533-position model. The record is from RNAcentral.
UACAGAGGGUGCAAGCGUUAAUCGGAAUUACUGGGCGUAAAGCGUGCGUAGACGGUUAUGUAAGUCGGGUGUGAAAGCCCCGGGCUCAACCUGGGAAUUACAUUCGAGACUGUGUAGCUAGGGUACGGAAGAGGGAAGCGGAAUUUCAGGUGUAGCGGUGAAAUGCGUAGAUAUCUGAAGGAACACCAGUGGCGAAAGCGGCUUCCUGGUCCAGUACCGACGUUCAGGCACGAAAGCGUGGGGAGCAAACAGG